GCUCAGGUGGCCUAGUGGUUAGAGCGUCUUCGUCGGAUGCAGGAGGUCGUGGGUUUGAACCCAGGCCGAGUCA
Molecule: non-coding RNA, 73 nt
Organism: Potamilus streckersoni
Lineage: Eukaryota; Metazoa; Mollusca; Bivalvia; Unionida; Unionidae
Source: the annotation of a GenBank genome assembly